UACGUAGGGUGCGAGCGUUGUCCGGAUUUAUUGGGCGUAAAGAGCUCGUAGGCGGCUCGUCGCGUCGACCGUGAAAACCCGCGGCUUAACUGCGGGCUUGCGGUUGAUACGGGCGGGCUAGAGUUCGGUAGGGGAGACUGGAAUUCCUGGUGUAGCGGUGGAAUGCGCAGAUAUCAGGAGGAACACCGGUGGCGAAGGCGGGUCUCUGGGCAGUAACUGACGCUGAGGAGCGAAAGCGUGGGGAGCGAACAGG
Molecule: ribosomal RNA, 253 nt
Filed under: uncultured bacterium
Lineage: Bacteria
Description: partial 16S ribosomal RNA
Rfam family: Bacterial small subunit ribosomal RNA
Source: RNAcentral